AUCCGGCUGACGAGUCCUAUAUAGAACUAAAAGCGUAUCCUGGAU
This 45-nucleotide non-coding RNA is filed under the name Schistosoma haematobium. Lineage: Eukaryota; Metazoa; Platyhelminthes; Trematoda; Strigeidida; Schistosomatidae. The record is from RNAcentral.